GGAGAGCGGAAUUCCACGUGUAGCGGUGAAAUGCAUAGAGAUGUGGAGGAACACCAGUGGCGAAGGCGGCUCUCUGGUCUGUAACUGACGCUGAGGCGCGAAAGCGUGGGGAGCGAACAGGAUUAGAUACCCUGGUAGUCCACGCCGUAAACGAUGAGUGCUAAGUGUUAGAGGGUUUCCGCCCUUUAGUGCUGCAGCAAACGCAUUAAGCACUCCGCCUGGGGAGUACGGCCGCAAGGCUGAAACUCAAAGGAAUUGACGGGGGCCCGCACAAGCGGUGGAGCAUGUGGUUUAAUUCGAAGCAACGCGAAGAACCUUACCAGGUCUUGACAUCCUCUGACAACCCUAGAGAUAGGGCGUUCCCCUUCGGGGGACAGAGUGACAGGUGGUGCAUGGUUGUCGUCAGCUCGUGUCGUGAGAUGUUGGGUUAAGUCCCGCAACGAGCGCAACCCUUGAUCUUAGUUGCCAGCAUUCAGUUGGGCACUCUAAGGUGACUGCCGGUGACAAACCGGAGGAAGGUGGGGAUGACGUCAAAUCAUCAUGCCCCUUAUGACCUGGGCUACACACGUGCUACAAUGGAUGGAACAAAGGGUCGCGAAGCCGCGAGGUCGAGCCAAUCCCAUAAAUCCAUUCUCAGUUCGGAUUGCAGGCUGCAACUCGCCUGCAUGAAGCCGGAAUCGCUAGUAAUCGCGGAUCAG
This 698-nucleotide ribosomal RNA is filed under the name Mesobacillus subterraneus. RNAcentral's name for it is "bacterial SSU rRNA". It matches the Rfam family "Bacterial small subunit ribosomal RNA", at positions 656 to 1352 of the family's 1533-position model. Lineage: Bacteria; Bacillati; Bacillota; Bacilli; Caryophanales; Bacillaceae. The record is from RNAcentral.